CUUCAAUGGCUUGUUUCACUAUUUCUCAAUGAUAUGGUGACAUUCUUACUGAUGUCUCUAGUAGGAUGCAGAGGUGACUGAGGAGAGGAGCAAAGUACUCAAAGCAUCAAAAAGACCUGACACCUGGACAUCAUAUGGCCUUGAGAAAG
Molecule: long non-coding RNA, 149 nt
Organism: Cercocebus atys (sooty mangabey)
Lineage: Eukaryota; Metazoa; Chordata; Mammalia; Primates; Cercopithecidae
Exons: 2
Source: RefSeq, a predicted model, not a curated record